UACGUAGGGGGCAAGCGUUGUUCGGAAUUACUGGGCGUAAAGGGCGCGUAGGCGGCACGACAAGUCGGGAGUGAAAGCCCGGGGCUCAACCCCGGAAUGUCUCUCGAAACUGUCGAGCUAGAGUGCAGAAGAGGCAACUGGACUUCCCAGUGUAGCGGUGAAAUGCGUAGAUAUUGGGAAGAACACCUGAGGCGAAGGCGGGUUGCUGGGCUGACACUGACGCUGAGGCGCGAAAGCCAGGGGAGCGAACGGG
RNAcentral lists this ribosomal RNA (253 nucleotides) under uncultured bacterium. Its description in RNAcentral is "partial 16S ribosomal RNA". It matches the Rfam family "Bacterial small subunit ribosomal RNA", at positions 524 to 776 of the family's 1533-position model. The record is from RNAcentral.